AUCUCAUAAAGUAUGUCACAGUUCGGAUUGAAGUCUGCAACUCGACUUUAUGAAGCAGGAAUCGCUAGUAAUCGUGGAUCAGAAUGCCACGGUGAAUACGUUCCCGGGCCUUGUACACACCGCCCGUCACACCAUGGGAGUAAAUUGUAAAAGAAGUAGAUAGCUUAUUACCACUUUAUGAUUUAUGACUGGGGUGAAGUCGUAACAAGGUA
Molecule: ribosomal RNA, 212 nt
Filed under: Candidatus Carsonella ruddii
Lineage: Bacteria; Pseudomonadati; Pseudomonadota; Gammaproteobacteria; Oceanospirillales; Halomonadaceae
Description: partial 16S ribosomal RNA
Rfam family: Bacterial small subunit ribosomal RNA
Source: RNAcentral